GUCUACAGCCAUGCCACCCUGAACAAGCCUGAUCUCGACCGAUCUAAGAAGCUAAGCAGGGUUGGGCCUGGUUAGUAUUUGGAUGGGAGACCAUUUAGAAAGAACAGGUGCUGUAAGCA
Molecule: ribosomal RNA, 119 nt
Organism: Pteropus vampyrus (large flying fox)
Lineage: Eukaryota; Metazoa; Chordata; Mammalia; Chiroptera; Pteropodidae
Source: Ensembl